UUCAUCUAAAGCUAAAUAUUGGCCAGAGACCGAUAGCGCACAAGUAGAGUGAUCGAAAGAUGAAAAGCACUUUGGAAAGAGAGUUAAACAGUACGUGAAAUUGUUGAAAGGGAAGCGCUUGCAACCAGACUUGCAUGCCGUCGAUCAUCCUGGGUUCUCCCUGGUGCACUCGGCGGCGUUCAGGCCAGCAUCGGUUUUGGUGGUUGGAUAAAGGCCUUGGGAAUGUGGCUCCUCUCGGGGAGUGUUAUAGCCCUCGGUGCAAUGCAGCCUACCGGGACCGAGGACCGCGCUUCGGCUAGGAUGCUGGCGUAAUGGUUGUAAGCGACCCGUCUUG
This 334-nucleotide ribosomal RNA is filed under the name Hymenotorrendiella pruinosa. RNAcentral's name for it is "partial large subunit ribosomal RNA". It matches the Rfam family "Eukaryotic large subunit ribosomal RNA", at positions 305 to 656 of the family's 3401-position model. The record is from RNAcentral. Lineage: Eukaryota; Fungi; Ascomycota; Leotiomycetes; Helotiales; Helotiaceae.